UUCCGAGUCCGGCGGACUAAGUAGGCCAGCCCCACCCCCCAAGGCUAUAGCCCACCCGUUUUUGUGGCCUUUUUCCGCUGGACGAACUUGGCGCCCCGGCCUUCGGGCGGUUAUUUUUGGGCGCGGUUUUGGCUGCGGCCUAUUUUUGGCACACGGAGACCCCUCGAAAAGUCUCGCGGCAUUCCGAGUCCGGCGGACGAAGUUGGCCAGCCCCUCCCCCCAAGGCUAUAGCCCACCCGUUUUUGUGGCCUUUUUCCGCUGGACGAACUUGGCGCCCCGGCCUUCGGGCGGUUAUUUUUGGGCACGGCUUUGUCCGUGGCCUA
This 323-nucleotide long non-coding RNA is filed under the name Citrus x clementina. RNAcentral's name for it is "Citrus clementina (C. clementina) long non-coding RNA (CCLE_LNC000693)". The record is from RNAcentral. Lineage: Eukaryota; Viridiplantae; Streptophyta; Magnoliopsida; Sapindales; Rutaceae.